This 497-nucleotide ribosomal RNA is filed under the name uncultured bacterium. RNAcentral's name for it is "partial 16S ribosomal RNA". It matches the Rfam family "Bacterial small subunit ribosomal RNA", at positions 28 to 507 of the family's 1533-position model. The record is from RNAcentral.
GAUGAACGCUGGCGGCGUGCCUAAUACAUGCAAGUCGAGCGAACGGACGAGAAGCUUGCUUCUCUGAUGUUAGCGGCGGACGGGUGAGUAACACGUGGAUAACCUACCUAUAAGACUGGGAUAACUUCGGGAAACCGUAGCUAAUACCGGAUAAUAUUUUGAACCGCAUGGUUCAAAAGUGAAAGACGGUCUUGCUUUCACUUAUAGAUGGAUCCGCGCUGCAUUAGCUAGUUGGUAAGGUAACGGCUUACCAAGGCAACGAUGCAUAGCCGACCUGAGAGGGUGAUCGGCCACACUGGAACUGAGACACGGUCCAGACUCCUACGGGAGGCAGCAGUAGGGAAUCUUCCGCAAUGGGCGAAAGCCUGACGGAGCAACGCCGCGUGAGUGAUGAAGGUCUUCGGAUCGUAAAACUCUGUUAGUAGGGAAGAACAUAUGUGUAAGUAACUGUGCACAUCUUGACGGUACCUAAUCAGAAAGCCACGGCUAACUACGUG